UCGGGAAUUUUGGGCAAUGGGCGAAAGCCUGACCCAGCAACGCCGCGUGAAGGAUGAAGUAUUUCGGUAUGUAAACUUCGAAAGAAUAGGAAGAAUAAAUGACGGUACUAUUUAUAAGGUCCGGCUAACUACGUGCCAGCAGCCGCGGUAAUACGUAGGGACCAAGCGUUGUUCGGAUUUACUGGGCGUAAAGGGCGCGUAGGCGGCAUGACAAGUCACUUGUGAAAUCUCUGGGCUUAACCCAGAACGGCCAAGUGAUACUGUCGCGCUAGAGUGUAGAAGGGGCAAUCGGAAUUCUUGGUGUAGCGGUGAAAUGCGUAGAUAUCAAGAGGAACACCUGAGGUGAAGACGGGUUGCUGGGCUGACACUGACGCUGAGGCGCGAAAGCCAGGGGAGCAAACGGGAUUAGAUACCCCCGUAGUCCCUGAGCGGGCUGGCAAGGCGCAU
This 447-nucleotide ribosomal RNA is filed under the name uncultured bacterium. Its description in RNAcentral is "bacterial SSU rRNA". It matches the Rfam family "Bacterial small subunit ribosomal RNA", at positions 355 to 825 of the family's 1533-position model. The record is from RNAcentral.